CAGCCGCCGCGGGAAUACGUAGGGUGCAAGCGUUAAUCGGAAUUACUGGGCGUAAAGCGUGCGCAGGCGGUUAUAUAAGACAGAUGUGAAAUCCCCGGGCUCAACCUGGGAACUGCAUUUGUGACUGUAUAGCUAGAGUACGGCAGAGGGGGAUGGAAUUCCGCGUGUAGCAGUGAAAUGCGUAGAUAUGCGGAGGAACACCGAUGGCGAAGGCAAUCCCCUGGGCCUGUACUGACGCUCAUGCACGAAAGCGUGGGGAGCAAACAGGAUUAGAUACCCCAGUAGUCCCUGUCUCUUAUAC
This 301-nucleotide ribosomal RNA is filed under the name uncultured bacterium. RNAcentral's name for it is "partial 16S ribosomal RNA". It matches the Rfam family "Bacterial small subunit ribosomal RNA", at positions 509 to 807 of the family's 1533-position model. The record is from RNAcentral.